GAUGAACGCUGGCGGCAUGCUUUACACAUGCAAGUCGGACGGGAAGUGGUGUUUCGAGUGGCGGACGGGGGAGUAACGCGUAAGAACCUGCCCUUGGGAGGGGAACAACAGCUGGAAACGGCUGCUAAUACCCCGUAGGCUGAGGAGCGAAAGGAGGAAUCCGCCCAAGGAGGGGCGCGCGUCUGAUUAGCUAGUUGGUGAGGUAAUAGCUUACCAAGGCCGUGAUCAGUAGCUGGUACGAGAGGAUGAUCAGCCACACUGCGACUGAGACAAGGCGCAGGCUACUUUGGGAGGCAGGAGCAAGCAAUAUCCAGCAAUGCCGCAAAGGUUAACGAGGCAUUGCCGCGGGGAAGUAAAAUGCCUACGGGUCAUAAACAUCUUUUCCUGAAGAAGAAACAAUGACGGUACCUAGAGAAUAAGCAUCGGCUAACUCUGUG
Molecule: ribosomal RNA, 437 nt
Filed under: uncultured bacterium
Lineage: Bacteria
Description: partial 16S ribosomal RNA
Rfam family: Bacterial small subunit ribosomal RNA
Source: RNAcentral